CUGCCUCUGGAAUCCUGCCCUGUUUGAGUGCUUGUCCUGACUUCCUUCAGUGAUGAACAGCGAUGCUGAGGUGUAAGCAGCAUAAAGGUUUUCUUCCCCAACCUGCUCUUUGGUUGUGUUUUGUUGCAGCAGUAGAAACCCUGACUGAGACACUGACUUAGAUCCUCUGGAUAUGUUCCAGGCGAUGGAGAAAAGAGAAUUAUGAGUUCGUAUGGCUGCAGAGUCAGAAACACCAACUAGUUUCUAGCACCUUCUAUUCCUGCUGCUGCUGAUUCGUGGGGACAGAGCAGCCAUGUGGGUUUCCCACUUCCUUCUGGAGCACUGACGAACUGUGAAAUUUUCUACUCGCCGGGCGGUGGUGGUGCACGCCAUUAAUCCCAGCACUCGGGAGGCAGAGCCAGGCGGAUCUCUGUGAGUUCGAGGUCAGCCUGGGCUACCAAGUGGAACUUAAUAAAUCAGAAUGAAAAUGAGGCCAGGUCAAUGUGCCAAAGGGAUCUAAGAGGACUUGAGACUUGCUGGCUGCUGGCUGUGAGUCUGUUCGGAGGCAUGUCUGUGCUUCUGCGGUGGAGCACGGUGUGAGUGCAUACCUGCAUGUUUACGUCAUUUCCCAGCUAUAUUAGAAGGCAGCAAUAGUGCCAUGUGCUUUUAUUUUGUGCUCUGCAUUUUUCUACACGCUGUCCUGGUUAUGUAAAUUGGAAAUGGCCCACUAACCACUUUUGUCUUGGGGUACAGAAAGAAAGAUGGGCACAGGAUUUGCAAGGGACCGGUAAAGAACAGACGACUGAUCCCGUAGAGUGCUCUAACUGCCUCUGUCACUGUGCGGUGUAGUUAGCAUUCUAGAAAUAUAGGGGCA
This is a long non-coding RNA of Peromyscus californicus insignis, 853 nucleotides long. RefSeq lists it as uncharacterized. Lineage: Eukaryota; Metazoa; Chordata; Mammalia; Rodentia; Cricetidae. The record is from RefSeq and is a predicted model, not a curated record. The transcript is spliced from 3 exons.